Molecule: long non-coding RNA, 734 nt
Filed under: Solanum tuberosum (potato)
Lineage: Eukaryota; Viridiplantae; Streptophyta; Magnoliopsida; Solanales; Solanaceae
Description: long non-coding RNA (STUB_LNC003124)
Source: RNAcentral
UGGGGCUAUAUGAAGGUGAUGUGGGGCUGUAAGAAGGUGAAGUGGGGCUGUAAGAUGGCGAAGUGGGGCUGUAUGCCGGAGAAGUGGGGCUGUAGGCCGGAGAAGUGGGGCUGUAUGCCGGAGAAGUAGGGCUGUAGCUAGGUGAUGUUGGGCUAUAGCUAGGCGAGGUUGGGCUAUAGCUUGGAGAUGUUGGACUAUAACUGGGUGAUGUGGGUGAGUAUGAAGGACUGGUUGGAGAAUAUGCUGGACUUGUCGGGCUGUAGCCAGGGGAGCUGGGGCUAUAAGUGGGGGAAGUGGGGCUGUAACCAGGAGAUGUGGGGCUGUAACCGGGGGAAGUGGGGCUGUAUCCUGGAGAGGUCGGGCUGUAACCAGGGGAUGAUGGGCUGUAACCAGGGGAUGAUGGACUGUAACCAGGGGAUGAAGUAGGAGAGAAAGCCAUGCCACCCACAUAAGGAGAAAAUUGAGCAUCUGUAAUCGGUGACAUCCGCAUAUUUGGGCUGAGCAAAUAAUUUGGAGACAUCAUUCCAUCAUGAUACGGGGUUCCACUGAUAGGUGAACGCCCAGGUGUCAUGCCAAAUUCAAGACCACCUUCCAUGUAGCUAGGUAAUGGUAUCUCAAUAGCUUGUUUCAACAUCUCCUCAUUGAGGUACAAAGAACAGCUUCCUGUGCCAAUUGGUGCAAGCUGACCUAACAUGAUAUUUUCUGUUACACCCCUCAGGUGAUCUGACUCUGCA